GGUUUCUCCUGUAUUUGGUUGUGUAACUGAAGAUCCGUUGGGACGGCGGCUUGGAGGAAGCUAAUCCACCCUUGAAAGAGUAAAGCCUAUUUUGGUCUGUAUUAGCCAGCUGACCAACAUGGCCCAGUCAGGGCUUCCUUAGACAUAAUAGGUUGAGUCAGGUUCAGUUUGGGCUCUUAGUCAGGGAUACAUUUUCCGAUGUGACUUUAUCAUGCGUUUAAUAGUUUAAAUAAAGUUUCCUGACUACCACUGACAUUAAGAUGCGAGUUAGUGUGGUGACCGGGGAGAAUUUGGUUUAGAGCAGUUAAAGCGUUGUGGACAUUUCCAUGCAGAAUCCCAACUCUAAUGUCUCAGAAUUAGCAAGCAGAAUAUACAUUUCAUGACAAAAUAAGCUAAUUAGAAGUGUAACAGAGGUUACAUGAAGUGGACAAGCCUACUGGGGAGACAUGACCGCAAGUCAAAUAAUAGGUCAAAACUGGGUUUCUACAUUUAAAUAAAAGUAUUGGAAACAGAUACCUGUCAGUUCACUCUAAACACCAGGGACAUUGUCCUUGAUACCUAACUGAGGAGUAUUUACCACUGUAGAAGUCAGAGUUAGUAUGGAUGUCAAAGGCAUUAAAAUAUUGCAGAUUUAAUAAACCAAAUAUAUCAUAACAUUUGUCUUUCGAGUGUUGGAAUGUAGACAACCAUGUCUUAUUAGUUAUAUGUAUUACAUUAUUGUAACAGUAUGCAGAACAUGACAAUAAGUCACUUUAUUUUGUGGCAAUGCUCUUUCAAUUUCUUUCUUUAAAAAGAAUCGCUAUAAAAUAGCACUUCCAUGAAUGAUAGCUGCAUACCAACAUAUUCAAGAACAUCUGAUAUCAGAAUGUUUCAAAAAACAAAAGUAUACAGACAAUAAUUGAGUAGGACAUUGUAGAUUUUACAGUCGGCUUUACAGAAAAGGUUUCAGGGUAAGCCAAUGAAAUGAGCUGGCAUGGAAAUUAAAAACAUGAUCUAAAAUCUGCCUUUAAAAGACUGGAAUACAAAUAGCAAACAAACCCAAUAAUAAUCCGCCCAGCCUAGCAUGGUUGCUUCCUUACCAACUCAUCUUCAUAACUAACACUAACUCAGGGGACAGCAUGGAGUGUCAAAACCUCUAUAUGCACUCCUAAAGUCCCUGAAAUGCACUGAUACUUGGCCACCUACCAUAAAUGCCAGAAUUCAUGCCGUUCCUUACAUACACUGGUCAAAUAAAGCCUAUACACUUCACAAUAUAUGGACUUAUAUAAAAUAUGGUUUAAUUUGGGAAGCAUCCAUUUUGGAAAGCUCAGGCUGAGAUUCAUGUCAAAUCGACUUCUGUAAUUUAGCUGUUUACAGAAGGCCCCAGGAUUUUCCUUCCAGAAUGAGUAGAGAUUAGGUAUUCCCAAAUAGGCCCAUAUAUCUGGACAUAUUUACCCACCCAUCGCACAGAACAUCCCCAGAGCGUAGCAGUGUACAUCGUGGUGAUGAACAGUUACUCACAGCUGCCGAGGGAGGCAUGCACUGAUGAACUCACUUCUUCAAAUACACUAGGCGUUGCCUCUUAUCAACCCAAACUUCGAACGAAACUGGCGCAAUAUUGUUUCUGUGGGAAUCAUGGUGCAAAACAUCAGGUCUUCUUCGACUACAGCGUUUCUUAAAAGCCGAUGUUGUCCAAGCCCCAUAGAGGCUCCAUGAACGAGAAGGAGAGCCCGCUGGAGAAGGAACAUAUUCUGACAGUACUUCUACCAGGAGGCCUGGAGAAAAGGACCACGGUGCAUGGAAGUACACCUGUGAUGGACUUACUGGUCUCGCUCUGUGCCCAGUACCACCUGAACCCGUCUGACUUCACAGUAGAACUCCAGUCUGCCAAUAGAAACGACAUCGCCUGCAAACCCAGCUCCCUGAUUGGAGCCAUGGAGGCUGACCGGAUCAUCCUGAAACCUAAAGGGGUAGAGGAGAAGAUAAGGAAACCGUAUGUGCCUGAGGCAACAGUACGACUGCUUGUUAACUAUAAGAAGAACCACAAGGCUGUAGUGAGGGUCAACCCUAGAGUUCCUCUACAGCGCCUCCUGCCUACCAUUUGUGAGAAGUGCGAGUUUGACCUUGAGUCCACCAUCUUACUGAAAAACAACUCUGAAGAACCUUUGGACUUAACUAAGUCUCUCAACGACUACGGGCUGAGGGAGCUGCAUGCCAAAGAAGCUGCCGUUGUCAGUCCAGCUGUCAGUCUGGAAGUGGUAAUCACACCACCCCCACCAGAAGAAGCACAAGCAGCAGAAAACUCCAGCUUGCCAGAUAAAGGGAAGAAACAGAAGGAGAACAAGGGAUUGUUCAGUUUAUUCAGGAGAAUUAAGAAGAAACCUGAUAAGGUCACAUUUUUUUUACUCUUCUACAGCUUAGCUUUACUAUUACAGUCAACCGUUAUCUACAAACAUGUUGGAAUAGAUGACACUCAACAUGACUGCCGGUUGUCUUUGCUGGGCCAAGCCAGAUUGGAGUGCGUGUUUAAAAUGUUAGCGUGCCCUGAUAAAGCUUUGCAUUUUGCGGUCGGCUCUCUUCUCCAGGGGGUUUCUGGGAGUGCCCCGGCCUCACCGGGUUUGAAGAACCACAGGGUCACCAGUGUCAGCAUGAACUCCCUGGGUGGCCCCUCCAACACCCUGCCAGCUAAGAAGAGACGGGCACCUCAGCCCCCCCUGGCAAGCUCUCGGAGUGUCCCGGCGAACCUCAACAUACAGCCGCCGACUUCUAGGAAGAAGAAGCGCGCCCCGCCGCCACCCCCCUGUGCUAACACGCGGAACCGGCCACUCCAGGGCCCUGAGGUCAAAGGGAACGAAGUGUCCCUAUACACAGUGGAGGAGGAGGUUGGGGAGAGCCAGGGCCAGGACUCGCCGUCCUCAGCCUCAUCCGAAAACAGCCCCAGCCCCCUGACCCAACCCCGAUUUCCCUCGUCAUCGUCCCCGACUACCCUUCGACCCUUCAAUCCCUACCCCACAAGCCCUCCCCCACCCACCUCCGUAGCGGAGACGCUGACCCCGUUCCUGCUUUGUCAGACUCGGGCCAAACUCAAGCACCCGUCCCCCUCCAGCCCGAGGGAGGUGAACUCCGUCGUCGGGGGCCCGCCUGGAUCCUCGACGCGGCCACAGGGCCUUCAGGAGGUCAGUCCCCUCCAUCUGCUCCAGCUCAGGGCCAAGGUGUUGGGAGGGGCCUGGAGGAACCCCGGUCAGAGAGAGGGAAUGACCACGUUCACCGUGGUGCCCCGCGCGCAGACUCCCAGGAGGCAACAGGGCCCUGGGGCGGACCUGACCCUGGGAAAGACCUCAGAACCACCUCAAACCGUGGAUGAAACCCAUAAUGGGGUUCCAGACCCGGAAUGGGAGGACCAGCAGUCAGUCAAUGAGUGGUCUGAGGUCGAGGGACCCGGUCUGAAGCCUAAUAUGAAAUCCAAGUGUUCUCCUCUAAGGACUCCAGAAGGUUCUCCUCUUAGGACUCCUGAAGAAUCUACUGGCCGUGUUCUGAGUCCUCAUGGUUUGUCUCGUUCUGUUGAGCUACACCAGACGGAAACGAAUUCCCCUGUGGAACCCCACGGGGCGGAGUCACUUUCACCCAUUCAUGCUGAGGAGAGUCCGGACUCAGGAGUCCAAGUCCAGGAGGAUUUGGAGUCCCUCUCAGAGGUGUCCAAUCCGUAUGGAACUGUCCUCUUUGCCCACACCGGUGAUACGCCUGGAAAUGAGAUGAUCUCACCUCCUCAACCAGAGAGCCGACGAUCGUUCCAGGAGCCCAGCCCGAUGUUGGAAGAAGAUAAGGAGGGCGAAGAAGACCGUUUCUGUUUCCCUCCUCCUCCUCCCCCUCUUUGCCAUAACAAGGAGGGAGAGGAGACGCAUGCCACCCAGCCAAUAGUGAGGCUUCCUGGGGGGCGAAACCCCAGCCCUCCCUCCUAUCCUCCCCCUCACUCCCCUCUGCUGAGUCCUACCUCAAGUGUUCCAGCAGAGGGAGAUGAUUUGACCAACUUCCCGUCUCUAACCAAACCGAACAUGAUUCGUCUGACUCUGCCCACGCCGUACGUGCCUCCCGGCGCCUCCGGGUCCCUGGCCAGGAAGACGGCCAUCUCGUCCUGCUUUGCCCAGGCUGUGGCUUCAGCCGUGCGGAGGGCACAGUCGUCCGCUCCCAGACGACCGACUGCAGACCCAGUCCCUCCCUCGGGCUCUUCCCACUCGUCGGCCGUGCCUCUAUCGAACACGGGGUCAGAAUGACUGCCCAGUACGUCUGUGAGCAAAGUUCCUGUUUAGGGUGAGGCAACCUACCGCAGAGCCAGAAUGACCUUACUGUGACUCUGCUCGGAGGUCAACUGGCACAUUACGAAGAAGUCUGGACACCUGUUUUGCAGUCAGCUCAGUGUAUGAACAGUCUUUGUAAACUAUGUUUAUCCAACAGCAAUCCUCUGUGUGGGUGGGUCCUAACCCUCAAGGGCAGCAGCGAUGUCACACGGCUGUUGUCAUGGAGAAUGCCAUUAUCACCCCUAAGGUAGAGCUACGUCUCCACAUUGAAGGGGAAAGAAGGACACACGUGUACACACACACGCACACACGCUCACAUACACUGAACUGAAGCUACCUAAAGACAUCCAGUACAAGUGACAACUCUGGCAUUCUCCUUCUUGUGAUGAAAGGUUGCGUUUCAACCCGAGUUAUGAUGUCACAUCCUGUCAGGUGACUAAGCAAACAUUCAAGGCAGGAGGUGAAUCUCAUUGGGUGUCCAGCACUGUGUAUUUCCGGGAAAUUAAUAUUGGGUCUGUCAUAUACAUCACAGCUGCACGGUCAUCACAGGCCAUUAACAAAUACUUUGAUUAAAACCGAGCCUUUCACAUGAAGAUGCUGUCCUGUAUCCAUCCAGGGGCUUUUCUCUUUGAACUUAGAUACACACACACACACACACACACACUCACACACACUCACACACACGUUGUGGCAUGUAAAUAUGAUCUGCCUCUAGUUGGCUACAACACUACUAAAGCCUGUUGUUAGUUUACACUGAUUUGGUUUCUGGCAUUUGUCGUUGAAAUGAGAAUGCAUCAAUGCACAAGCAGAAGUGAACCCCAAGCCUUUGGUACACACAGUAUAGUGGGCCUAUUUGGGGUGGCCCUUGGCAUGGUGAACAGCAUUAUGGCCUAAAAACCUGGUUGCCUCUGUAACGAGACUGACAUUUGUCCUCAAGUAAAAGUACUCUGCUGUGUUCUCCAGUUUUGGGACAUUCCAAAGGAAGAGCUAAAUGACCAGGUGAACAGAGUUCAUAACUAACCAGUAGCCCCUGUAAAUUGAUAAUUUACACUCUUCAUUUAAUUGAUCACUGGUUAGUUUUGAGCUUCAUUUACCUGGUUACUUAGAUCUUAAUUAGAUACUCCCCUAAAUUAAUGAACAAAUCCGAGCCCAGUUGAGUACAUUUACUUUGUACUUUUUACACCUCUGCUCAAGAGGAUUUAACUUUGUAACUGCAAGUCAAUUAACCCCAAGCACAGAAAUCCACAAGUGAACUACUGCUGAAGCACAACAUUUUGCAGUGGCCAUAUCAGUCUUCGCACUUGAAUCCCAUUGAAAACAUUUGGUUUAUAUUGGAGAAGGCCGUCUAUGGUAUUCUUCCAGAUCAAUGAGAUUCCAGGAUCUCAAGGAUCUGGAAGGAUUCUGCAUGGAAGAACAGCAUAAAUGACGAAAGGAACAGGCUCAGUCUUGAGGAGGGAAACAAGGAAGCAAAUACUUUUGUCACUUAUUUUUGGGUUGAAACACAAUUUAACUUUUUCUAAUUUAACUUGGGCAAUUUCAGAUGAGUCUCUUGAAUCAUUAUUAAAGAAGUAGUAGUUCAUAGCACCCUGUCGUUAUUACUCGUCAUGGUUACAUAUACUGUGUAUUAAAACAUAGAAUUGGGACCCGUUACUAAGAAAGAAACUGUGCGUGCUUUGGAUAAAUUACAUCAAGAUGGAGUACGUAAUGAACAGGCAGCCUUGUCACUUGUGGGAAGCAUUGAACGGCUGUGGGAGAAGAAAUGUCUGUCUUUAUAUCCGUCAGGUUUGUACAUUUAAUACCGUUAUGGCUCAAUUUCUCGUGCUACUGAUUACAAGUAACAUAAUCCCAUCUUAAACUAUUUUUCAAACACACACGCAUCUGACAUGUUUUCAUGUCCACUGUAACUACAAUGGAACUUCCCACACAAUAAUUGUUAAUUCGCACUUAUAUAAUACUGUUUAUGUAUUUAUUCUGUCAUCUGUACAUAUAUUUACAUAUAGAAUUUUUUUCAGCUAUUCAAUGUGUGUGUAUUCAGUGUGAUUUAACAGAAUACUUAGGGCUGAUAAUGUAAUGGAGAUUUUGAUCUUAGGAGUGUUUCUGUGUUGGUACGACCUCCUGUUGGUGUGUGUGUGUGAGUGUGUGUGUGUUUUCUGGAGAUACAAGCAAUCGAUGAAUAACCCACAGCGUUGUUGUCCUGAUCAUACUGACUAGCUAGCUGGUGGAGGAGAGGGGCAGAUCAGUUCUCUACUCUAGAGCUCCACCUGGGGACUAACCCCACCCUCAGAUAGAGAUGCAGGAGAGAGAAGUUUAGCACAGCCAGAGGGGCUGUUGUGUUGGGAAACAAAUGCGGGGGAGAACAUGUUUGACCUUUGACCUGGAACAUGUAUUCAGCUGAUCCCCUCUGCUUGGGAAUAUUGGGAAAUCAGUUUGUUCCAUGUAAUGCGUACUGUCAGGAUUUAUAGUGGUGCUUUUUGUAUGACUAUUAGGGAAAUGACACAAGGCUUGCUGACAAAAAAAUGGAUUCUGGUAAAUCUUAUUUUCACAUGAAAAUAUUUUUCAGGCCUAAAAUGAAUUUGAAUAGCUGGCAAACGAUUUACAACCAUUCACUAUAUAUGUGAACCACAUGGGGUCAGCUGUUACAAAGCUAAUUGUUCUUGUGCUUCUCAGUGAAACUGGCAUUCAUCAUUUUCAGCUCGGAAAUUGUUUCUCCCUGGAAUAAACACUACAUCAACAAACAAUGUAUUGUAGCUACUGUAAUAUAGGACUCUGGCUUAUUAAAUGUAUUUGUAUCUUUAUAUGUAUGUAAAAUAUUUUUCUACAGCAAAACGUAAAUCCUAAUUAUUCAAACAAAUCUAUUAAUUUGACCUUCAAUUUGGACUGUGGACUUCAUAAUUAACAACCAGCUGUCUACUAGAUGUCUAUUUUUACUGACUUUGGGCGUUGAUGGAUUAUUUUAUUUUUUACCUAACAGGGGGAUUUGUGUUUUUCUAAAAUGUUGCAUUGGUAAUUUACAUCUUGAAGCAGAUGCAUAUCAUGUGUAUCAGUUUGACUGAAUGCCUAAAUCAGUAAAACAGAGUAAUACAUUUUUUUAUUUCUACAGAUUGUUGGAAUAGUUGAGUUAUUCCCAACUAUGACUCCAUUUAUGAAAUGUCAGACUCUCAAGAUAACUUACACGUCUUCUGAAUCCAAAUACAAAGAUGUGUAGGUCUUGUUAAAAUGGAUGAAGAAAUAGAGAAGCUUUAUUUGUCCCACUGCGUUAAUUUCACUUGAAAGUUUUCCCUUAUAUUACUGUUCUUAUGUUGUGUACUCACAUGUCUAGAAUCGAAAUGCCUUUGUCCAGGUUGUCUUUGAAAUUGAGAAUUGAUCAAAUUAAAAAUACAUUAAACAAAAGAAACGUUAGGAGUAUCUGCUAAUUAUAUGGGUUGGAUCACUGCAGAGCCCUGAAUCCAUGUAACAGUAUAUUAAACAAUAAUGUAUAAAUAUUGACUUUGUCAGACCCCCCUGCCUUACCCAGAUCCUCCUAAAGGUUUGGCAGCUUGGGCAGUGAUUAUUUAUUUUUAUUUUAUUUUUUCAAAUGUGGCUCCCUUAACCACCACUGGUAAAGCUCAAGAUAAAAUAUGAUACAUUCAUUUAGCAGUCAAGUGUUGUGUGAGUGGAGCCCUAAGAUCUUUCCAGGGUGUUGAUUCAUCUUCUCAGGGCAGCCUGCCUUUCUAACAUCAUGGAUAGGGAGGGGCUACGCAUCUUCUAAAGGGAAACUCUGCCUUGAUGUCAACUGGUCAAGUCUGUUUAUAUUGUUGCUGCCCUAGCUAACAUGUUCCUGUCCAUCUUAUUGGCACUCAUACCGAAAAAUAUCAAGGAAGAGCUGCACUUCAUGAUCAGACCAGAGACUAGGGGCCAGUUCUCUACUAACACUGAAAUGCUUGCUGACAAGCUUGAAUCCAAAAUAAAUGGCAACAAAAUAAAACAUUAAGUACAUUUUAUUAAAAUACUCAAUGAAGAUUGAUGGUAUUUACUAGAUGUUUUUUCAGAAAAUGCAAUUUGAUCAAGAUCAAAGAAUCUAGAUUGUGGAUAUUUGGCAAACUACAGUACUGUCAGAGGUAGGUUUCAAUGUUUUUUAACCAACAAGAAAGCUAGGUUUGACAAAAAAUAUAAAUCUUUGGGCCUGUUUCAGAAAAUAACUAAACUGUGUUGAGUAGGGACAGAACAACACUAUUCACUCAGAUUCGAACCGUCAACCUUUCAUUUACUGGUCUAAAGCUCUUGACUACUAACAUACCCUGGCACACCUGUUUGAGCAGGCAUACAUUUGCGAUCGAUUGGACAGGUUGUGGCACGUCAUCUACACUGUUAAGCACUUUUUUGAUGCUUCCCAAUAUGUUACCUUAACUCCCAGGGGAAUAGCCCCGGAUAUCAAACAGACCAAAAAAAUAUAAUAAUAAAAAAAUAUCUGAUCUAUUCAU
Esox lucius (northern pike) is the source of this 8734-nucleotide RNA transcript. It is a transcript of the gene named protein cordon-bleu, with no coding region annotated. The transcript is spliced from 10 exons. The record is from RefSeq and is a predicted model, not a curated record. Lineage: Eukaryota; Metazoa; Chordata; Actinopteri; Esociformes; Esocidae.